GGGAAACCGGAGCUAAUACCGGAUAAUAUUUUGAACCGCAUAGUUCAAAAGUGAAAGACGGUCUUGCUGUCACUUAUAGAUGGAUCCGCGCUGCAUUAGCUAGUUGGUAAGGUAACGGCUUACCAAGGCAACGAUGCAUAGCCGACCUGAGAGGGUGAUCGGCCACACUGGAACUGAGACACGGUCCAG
RNAcentral lists this ribosomal RNA (189 nucleotides) under uncultured Staphylococcus sp. RNAcentral describes it as "partial 16S ribosomal RNA". It matches the Rfam family "Bacterial small subunit ribosomal RNA", at positions 151 to 334 of the family's 1533-position model. Lineage: Bacteria; Bacillati; Bacillota; Bacilli; Caryophanales; Staphylococcaceae. The record is from RNAcentral.